RNAcentral lists this ribosomal RNA (489 nucleotides) under uncultured bacterium. Its description in RNAcentral is "bacterial SSU rRNA". It matches the Rfam family "Bacterial small subunit ribosomal RNA", at positions 43 to 524 of the family's 1533-position model. The record is from RNAcentral.
CAGGCCUAACACAUGCAAGUCGAGCGGUAACACAGGGAGCUUGCUCCCGGGUGACGAGCGGCGGACGGGUGAGUAAUGUCUGGGAAACUGCCUGAUGGAGGGGGAUAACUACUGGAAACGGUAGCUAAUACCGCAUAAUGUCGCAAGACCAAAGAGGGGGACCUUCGGCCUCUUGCCAUCAGAUGUGCCCAGAUGGGAUUAGCUAGUAGGUGGGGUAAUGGCUCACCUAGGCGACGAUCCCUAGCUGGUCUGAGAGGAUGACCAGCCACACUGGAACUGAGACACGGUCCAGACUCCUACGGGAGGCAGCAGUGGGGAAUAUUGCACAAUGGGCGCAAGCCUGAUGCAGCCAUGCCGCGUGUAUGAAGAAGGCCUUCGGGUUGUAAAGUACUUUCAGCGGGGAGGAAGGUGUUGAGGUUAAUAACCUCAGCAAUUGACGUUACCCGCAGAAGAAGCACCGGCUAACUCCGUGCCAGCAGCCGCGGUAAU